AACUCGGCCAUUUAGAGGAAGUACAAGUCGUAACAAGGUUUCCGUAGGUGAACCUGCGGACGGAUCAUAGUAAUCGUCUUUGACGUUCGCUUUUCCGUCGUCCUUGGGACAUUAAGGUGCUCUGGUCGAGGAUAAACGACCCCUCUGGCCGAGGUCAAACCCGUCGCUCUGUGUUACCUCUAAAAAAAAUUUUCCGAGGCACACCUUAAAGAUCGUUCCGCAUUGUGAGUCUAACACCAGUUGUAUAAACUUUUUACAACCGGUAGCGCUGGAUCCCUUGGCACGUCAUUCGAUGAAGACCGUUGCAAAUUGCGAUAAAGUGAUGUGAUGCGCAAGUCCACCACUUAUACGUGAAUCAUCGAGUUGUUGAACGCAUUGCACCGCGCCCUAAUCCGGCUGCGGUAUGCCCCUUUGAGCGUCAUUGUAUUCCUUCGGGAGUCCUUUUACAAGGACCCGAGUUCGGAGUCCUCGGUCCCCUGUGGAUCGUGUUCUCUCAGAUCCCUCGCACCGAUCGCCUGACGGGUCCUCUAAUGCCUAAGCGUGGAGUUCCUUCAGAGUCCGACACGUGCUUGACCGAGUCUUGAGCUCGUGUCACCAAGUCCGCCUACCAGCGGUACUACAACGCAUGACCUCAUUGGGGUAGGACAACCCGCUAGACUUAAGCAUAUUAAUCAGCGGAGGAAAAGAAACUAACCAGGAUUCCCUCAGUAACUGCGAGUGAAGCGGGAUCGGCUCAAUGUGUGAAUCUGGCGG
Molecule: ribosomal RNA, 753 nt
Filed under: uncultured Tulasnellaceae
Lineage: Eukaryota; Fungi; Basidiomycota; Agaricomycetes; Cantharellales; Tulasnellaceae
Description: eukaryotic LSU rRNA
Rfam family: Eukaryotic large subunit ribosomal RNA (bases 627-753)
Source: RNAcentral